RNAcentral lists this transfer RNA (76 nucleotides) under Gammaproteobacteria bacterium. RNAcentral describes it as "tRNA-Thr". It matches the Rfam family "tRNA". From Rfam's summary of the family: Transfer RNA (tRNA) molecules are approximately 80 nucleotides in length. RNAcentral also lists the same sequence under 1 other name. The record is from RNAcentral. Lineage: Bacteria; Pseudomonadati; Pseudomonadota; Gammaproteobacteria.
GCCCAUAUAGCUCAGCUGGUAGAGCACUUCCUUGGUAAGGAAGAGGUCACCGGUUCGACUCCGGUUAUGGGCUCCA